RNAcentral lists this ribosomal RNA (465 nucleotides) under uncultured Klebsiella sp. RNAcentral's name for it is "bacterial SSU rRNA". It matches the Rfam family "Bacterial small subunit ribosomal RNA", at positions 338 to 795 of the family's 1533-position model. The record is from RNAcentral. Lineage: Bacteria; Pseudomonadati; Pseudomonadota; Gammaproteobacteria; Enterobacterales; Enterobacteriaceae.
CCUACGGGGGGCAGCAGUGGGGAAUAUUGCACAAUGGGCGCAAGCCUGAUGCAGCCAUGCCGCGUGUGUGAAGAAGGCCUUCGGGUUGUAAAGCACUUUCAGCGGGGAGGAAGGCGGUGAGGUUAAUAACCUCAUCGAUUGACGUUACCCGCAGAAGAAGCAACGGCUAACUCCGUGCCAGCAGCCGCGGUAAUACGGAGGGUGCAAGCGUUAAUCGGAAUUACUGGGCGUAAAGCGCACGCAGGCGGUCUGUCAAGUCGGAUGUGAAAUCCCCGGGCUCAACCUGGGAACUGCAUUCGAAACUGGCAGGCUAGAGUCUUGUAGAGGGGGGUAGAAUUCCAGGUGUAGCGGUGAAAUGCGUAGAGAUCUGGAGGAAUACCGGUGGCGAAGGCGGCCCCCUGGACAAAGACUGACGCUCAGGUGCGAAAGCGUGGGGAGCAAACAGGAUUAGAUACCCGGGUAGUC